Hyaena hyaena (striped hyena) is the source of this 106-nucleotide small nucleolar RNA. RefSeq annotates it as small nucleolar RNA U13. The transcript has a single exon. NCBI's taxonomy places the organism in Eukaryota, Metazoa, Chordata, Mammalia, Carnivora, Hyaenidae. The record is from RefSeq and is a predicted model, not a curated record.
AUCCUUUUGUGGUUCGUGGACGUGGUGACUGGUAGUCUAUGCUGUUACUGUGUGAGAUGUACUUCCCUCAAACCUUAUAUGGCACUGGCACAUUACGUGUCUGAUG